CCCCCCCCGGCCCCUGCGUGAGGGGAGGCCGCGGAAACACCGGCGGGAGCGGGCCCCCGAGGGAGCUCUGCCGUCCCCUGAGGUGCUACGGGGAGAGACCCUGCUCCGGGAGGCACCGGGACACCUCCCGACACAGCUCCCCCAAACAACAGCAGCCCCGGUGCGGGCUGAGCCCGUCCCAGCGGCGGCCGCAGCUGAAGUGUGAAGAGCAUCGUGGGCAGCGUGAAGCGCGCCCAGGCUCCGCUCUGCUGUGGGCACCACCCAUACACCUGAUCCGGACAAGAUCGUGGCGUUAUCACCUUUCUCCCUGAGUUCUGCCCCAAAACACCCACUUCCGUGAAUGCUCACAGCCCCUCAGGCAGAGAAGAGCGCCCCACCUGCGCUCUCAGCACCAAGGUCCAGGGUACCGGUGUCUCAUCAAGGCUUGUCUCAACAAGACAGCAACUGAAAAUCUCGACAUCUCAUCACAGGUUUUGAAGCCUGCUCAUCCUGACCAAGCCUUUCUGGAUCUCAUCAACAUGAAGGAACUCUCCUUAUGCCCUUCCAAGAUCUGUGCAAUACUUCUUGGAGUGACUUCCCGGUGAUGCCAACAGCUUUCCCUGGCACCCCCAAGCAGAUUAAGUGGAAGACCACAGCAGUAAGUGCCUUCCCUCCAACUGGCUCCAAUUGAAUGGUUUUCCCGUAGGAAUUAACCUCAGAGGAAUCAGUCCCUCCAGCCAAACUGCCUCCUUUCCAGAGAAGCCAGAGGCUUGCAUGCUUUAAAAAAAAAAUAAAAAAAAAAAUCCCCAAAUCAAGAUAGUGUUUCAAGUCAGAUUAUGGUUCUUGCCAAAGAGCUGAAAGUUUAGCUGGAACGAAUUGGCUAGGCUUUGCAGAAAGGAGGCUGUAAAGAAGGAGGUUUCACUCCCUUCGGUGCUGCAUCCCACUGCCUUCAUCAGCGGUGGCGAAGGGGCAGUUCACAGGCAGGCAGAGACAGGUGAAAAAGAGGCAGCUGGGAAGCAGAGCCUUGAGAUGCAGGGUCUUCAGCCUCUUCCUUAGGGUUUUCCCUGGGAACACCACCUGGGUGAAGCCAGCAGGAAAGGCUGGGAUUCAGGCCAUGCCCUUGCAGAGCAGAUUAGCAGCAGUGCUUGCCACCUUGCCACCCCCAGGAAAGAAGCGUGAUCCCUGCCUGGCACAGAAAUGGAUCCAACGGGAGGCUGUGAGGCAAAACUCACUCAAAUAUUGAACUAGAAAAAUUUUGCUCAAUCUGCCUCUCUGUAAACAGUGACUAAUUGCUCUGGCUGGAGCUGCUGUACCUUCUAGAUUGGAAGGUGCAGAUGGAGCAACGAUAGUGAAGGCUCCUUACCUGACGCCGGCUGUACAUUAAUCACAAAUGUUUGCUAUGCAAAUCUUGUCAUACAAAGCAAUUAUUGCUGUUCUCGUACUGACCUCAUGUUUAUUUAUUACAUGAGCUCUUUAUUUGAACCUUGUCUGGUCUCUCUUCCCAUAUAAGCGUAUUAGUAUGUGGCUUCCAAAGGCACCCAGCUGAGAAAUUGUAGAUUUAUUUGUGGCGUGGAGGGAUGGCACACCACACGCUGACUGCAAUGCAGAGCUGAGAGGCUCAGCUCUUACACCAGUGGCUCUUCAUGCAAAAUAUUCUCACCCCAAGGUCUCUUGCUGGGAUGAAGGACACUUUCUAACAGCGCAGGGCCACGACUCCGGGUUCGCUCUGACGCUGCAGUAUUAACCGAUGGUUAAUGGAGACUGUCAGCCCGAGGAGCCACACAAUAAAACUCUGCUUGGGUUUCUUUAGGGCCUGCUCAGUAAAACUAAAAUUUUACACAGUGCUUCGUCCUUGGCUUUGUCACCUUUGCCUACCUCCAGAAUAAUGAGUUGCAAACAGAUUUAACUGUGUCACCAGUUCGGCUGCACAGCAAGCAGAGGGAUUGGAAUUACCUUUCUACAGUUUUCUUUUAAACACGCUCUAUACAGUCUAGAGUCUUCUGUAGUCAGCUGCCCCUCCACGCCGAUCAGUUUUGUUGUGCAGGGACUCUGCCUGCCCUACACUACAGGCAAGUCUCUGUUCCUCCCUUGAGGGUGACAGGAAGGGGCUCCAUGGUUCUUGCUUCAAACCAAACCCUCCUGUCUGACCUCUGUGGGCCCCAUCCGUGUCCACAAACAUUGCUGCUUUUUUACUGGGGGAAACUGUAGAAAAGUCCCCAGAGCCUGAAUGAAAUCAAAUCCCUCUUACAUCCCUCAGCCCUCCCUGCCUCUCUUGCUGCUCUUUCUUCUGCUCUCACCUCUGCUUCAGCUCUUUCCAAUAUAGCAUCAUUUUCUGAUGCAAUUAACACUUCUCAUCGCUUCCAAAUCAUUAAUAAAGCCACUAAUUAACAUGAGGCCUGACAAUGAACUGAGCACUGCCACACUGUGUACUUUUGCCCCUCUCCAGCAUCACCUCUUCCUUAGGAUCUCAGCUGGCUUUCCAUCCAUUUGACAAAUUCCAUGCCCCAGUCAAUCUGAAACAUUCCUCCCCCCCCAGUAUUUCUCUUUUAUGGUGCAGCUGUAGCUUUUGCUAAUUGUUCAUGAAAUUACUUUCCUUUUUUUUUUUCUAAAGCAAUAUUUUUCUUGAGAAGUUGAAUUUAAAAGGGGCCAUAAAUGACUAAUCGCAAUUAAUAAAAAUGAAGAAAUAAUUGGGCAAUAUCUUUAGAAGUAUACGCCUGGAGUCAAACUCCUAAAUCCCUGUUUCUGUUAGAUCAGCUUGGGGUUUUUAUUCUUCCCUGAAGGAGCAGCAGUGCCCAAGACUGACAGGGAAUACUCCAAGUGAUGGAAUAACUCUCCAACAACCCUAGCAAGCUGAGGGCUGGAAGAAUGUGGUGGACCAUGCUGGCAACACAUGGCUUACUGCUGCCCUCCUCCCUUGCUGACAGGAGGACUGGCUGUGCCAGGGCAAGAGGGGCUUUGGGGACCCAGUGGACAACUUGAUCCUCUUGAGAAGCACCGCCUUUAACCCAUGGAAAGCCCUGCUACUUCCACAAGACGCUUAGAAAGGGAUUAGACAUUUAAGGGCAAGACAGUUACAUUAAAAAAAAAAGCAGCAAUAAAAGGCUUUUGUGGUUCAGAGCAUAAAUCAGCCUUUUACUGCUUCCCCUUGCAGGGAGCACAGCCGCAAGCAUCUAACUCAGGGAUUUUUAUAUCUAGUUGUGAAAUAUCUGGGGGACAGCAGUGCC
This is a long non-coding RNA of Parus major (Great Tit), 3203 nucleotides long. RefSeq lists it as uncharacterized. The transcript has 4 exons. The record is from RefSeq and is a predicted model, not a curated record. Lineage: Eukaryota; Metazoa; Chordata; Aves; Passeriformes; Paridae.